This is a microRNA precursor of Pelodiscus sinensis (Chinese soft-shelled turtle), 80 nucleotides long. The record is from Ensembl. NCBI's taxonomy places the organism in Eukaryota, Metazoa, Chordata, Testudines, Trionychidae.
GGCAGCCGGCUCUGUCCCUGAGACCCUUAACCUGUGAGGGCAGCGCAGAGUUCACAGGUGAGGUUCUUGGGAGCUGAGCG